UAGAGUUUGAUCCUGGCUCAGAGCGACCGUUUGAGGCGGGCCUAACAUAUGCAAGUCGAACGCACUAGCACUCGUGAGUGGCGCACGGGUGCGUAACACGUGGGUAAUCAACCCUUCAGCUUGGGAUAACGACUUGAAAGGGUCGCUAAUACCGGAUACGGCGCGGGAGGCUUCGGCUUCUCACGAGAAAGCCUCGCAGGGGGCACUGAAGGACGAGCCUGCGGCCCAUCAGCUAGUUGGUGAGGUAAGAGCUCACCAAGGCGAAGACGGGUAGCUGGUCUGAGAGGAUGAUCAGCCACACUGGAACUGAGACACGGUCCAGACUCCUACGGGAGGCAGCAGUGGGGAAUAUUGCGCAAUGGGCGAAAGCCUGACGCAGCCACGCCGCGUGAGCGAUGAAGGCCUUCGGGUCGUAAAGCUCUGUGGGGAGAGACGAAGAAAGCCCGUGAAGAGCGGGCCUUGACGGUAUCUCCUUAGCAAGCACCGGCUAACUCCGUGCCAGCAGC
This 506-nucleotide ribosomal RNA is filed under the name uncultured bacterium. RNAcentral's name for it is "bacterial SSU rRNA". It matches the Rfam family "Bacterial small subunit ribosomal RNA", at positions 1 to 515 of the family's 1533-position model. The record is from RNAcentral.